AAAGAAAAAAGUAAAAUAUUAAUAGAAUUCAAAAAGCAUUUUUGUAUGUGAAUAUAUUUAAAAAUUGAAUUUAUUCAUGUGGAGCAAAUCUGAAUUUUCAGCAUCAUUAUUGCAGUUUCAUAGUCACAUGACCCUUAAUAAAAUCAUUCGAAUAUACUAUUGUAAAUUACUUCUUAUUGCUAGAAAAGUGGUUGUUAAGGUUUUCUCAAUGGUUGCCAACAACAAAAACAUAAUAGGAAUCAACAUUAAGACAGUUUUAAAUCCAAACACUCCCCUUGUCUCCCAUUGGUCGGAAAAACAAACAGUCCCGCCUUAAACUCACGCCAUUGGUUGAGCCAAAACUUAACAUAGUCAGGUGGUUCAAACAAACAGAUCAGUGUCACAGCGUUUACACAACAGGGAAAUGAACAUGCGAAUGGAUUGUUAUGUCUGCAUAUUAAGCUCCGACAGGAGGAAGUACUGUAGAUUAGAAGAAAUUAUAUACAAUGAUACAGCUCUAAAUCCAAAGCAAAGCCUCAUCAUAUUCAAAUGAUUUCAGCUUGUUUUGAUGCUGUUUUAUAUUCAACAUUACGUCCAUACAGACCACUAGAGCAGAUUUACAGGCCAAAACAUGUUUUAAUGUUAAAGCCAUAACAGAAUACCAUCUGCUUAUCAGCAUCACAGACUGGAAACACAAGCCAUUUGUAAUGUUCUGAGUCUAUGGCAGGUCAAUAACGGGUUUCUACUGUUUUGAAAGCAUAUAAUUAAUGCAUGCACUGUAUUUUUCACACAUCCAACCCGAAGGCGAAAACUGUGAAAAGUGAGUAAAAAGCUGUGAUUUUCAAUAUUUGUUAAAAGGCUCUGCCUUCCCUUUAGCACAGUAUUGUGUGUGAAUGUGAGAAGUAUCAAGGGUUUCACAAGCAUGUUUUCAGCACGUUUCCCCUGCUGAUGCAGAUCAGAAAAGCUCAUGCAAUCUUAGGACAAGCCGGAUACUUGACUAUUGCUCGUUCUUAGGGUUAAUCAUUAGAACAAAAACCUAAAAAUUAGAACUAAUCCUUAGUAUUUAAGGGAUAAACAUUUUGUUAUCAUUUACUCACUCUCAGGUUGUUCCAAAACAGUUUAGAGAUUUCUUUCUUCUGUUGCACAUAAAAGAUUAUAUCUUGAAGAAUGUGGGAAAUCAAACAGUUGACUGUUCCCAUUGACUUCCACAGUAUAGUAUUAUUUUCCAAACUAUUGAAGUCAAUGGCUGCCAGCAAGUAUUUGGUUCUUCAGUAUAUCUUCUUUCCUUUAAACUUUGGUGCAUAACUUACUUUACACUGUUAGCUUCAAGCUGAUACUGUACCUCAAAUUAUGCAACUUGCCUUUAUAUUCAUGCACAUGGAAGAUGCAUUUCACUGGUCCAUUCACUGGUAAUUGAACCCUAUGACUUUGGCGUCACAAUAUUUACAUUUAUAGUUGACACUUUACCCCAAAGCAACUUUUAUUGAAUUAAGGUGCACAUUUCGCUAGUUCAAAUUUAUCGGUUCAAAACUCAUGAUAUAUAAAAGGUGCACAUGGUGUCAUGCAUACAAAUACAAACACUGGUAAACUAAGUUGACUUCUUGAUUUUCACUUCCAAAAACUGUCCAUUUUAAAAUUUAAAUGAUAUGUACGAUUAGAUCUAUUACAGUUUACAGAAAACCAACAGACAGUUUUAAUCAAGAUUUUUUGUCUUUUAAUGUAAAAAAUUAACUCUUGAAAAGAUCUCAUUAUAAAAAACAGCAAAUAAGAACAAGCCUAUAGUAAACUUAAAUCCACACUAGAGUUUGACCGAUAUUUGGUUUUACCUAUAUUUCUCCCAAUAUUAACGCAUUUUUCCAUUAUCGGAUAUCAGUUUUGUUUCUUGUACAAGGAAAAAGUUCCAUUAAGACACUCUUCACCUUGAAGAGAGACGGGUCAACAACCGAGGAUACGGAGCUUGUAGUAAUGCAUUAUGGGACGCCCAACAGGCUAUUAUGCUCUGGACAGGACUGAUAAAUGUUUUGAUGAUGCCACAAAAAGCCCGUCUGCUGCCAAACCACCAUAGCAGCUUCCAAAACACAACAUAUGCUGGUCCUUCAGCAGGAAAGCCGGAUUAGCUCGCGUGCCCUCUGGUCAUCGCCGUCCGUAUAGGCCUUUUGGAUGCUCCUCAGAGUGGAUGAAUGACUCACGGGAACGCUGCCGACCGCCGACUGCUUGGCUCCCAUCGCCGGGACGUCUGCAAAUGGGGC
Carassius gibelio (silver crucian carp) is the source of this 2228-nucleotide long non-coding RNA. RefSeq lists it as uncharacterized. The record is from RefSeq and is a predicted model, not a curated record. The transcript is spliced from 3 exons. NCBI's taxonomy places the organism in Eukaryota, Metazoa, Chordata, Actinopteri, Cypriniformes, Cyprinidae.